GACCACGAACCCACCGGGAGGAGCAACAACUCCAGAUGCGCCGCGUUAAGAGCUGUAACACUCCCCGCGAAGGUCCCCAGCUUCACUCCUGAGCCAGCGAGACCACGAACCCACCAGAAGGAAGAAACUCCGAACACAUCCAAACAUCAGAAGGAACAAACUCUGGACACGCCGCCUUUAAGAACUGUAACACUCACUGCGAGGGUCCGCGGCUUCAUUCUUGAGAGAUUUACUCCCCAGGUACUUUUCUUCAGACAGUACAUCUGACACAGAUCAUCUCUGUGAGGGCCAAAUUUUCAUGGCAUGCUGCUUUAUGAGUAGUGUCCUUUCAUGUUGAUUUAAGGUAUUCCUCAAUCCAGUCAUGUUGACACCUAAAAUUAACCAAAACAGUUCUCUGGCCUUCUCUAUCUUUUGGUCGCCUGGGAAAGCUAACUUUAUGAACUCUCUUACAUAAACUUCCUUGGCCUUUGGCUUCUGAUUAGGUUCAGCUAAUGACAAAGACCAGUAAAAGAUCAAAAGCCUCUCAGCAGCAGAUUGCUUUCACCUCUGAAGGGACGCAGCAUACAUUUACGUCUGAGGUACCUGAACAACCUUGCUCAACUGCACACAGUCUUUUCAGGAGUGAUAUAUCUUGAAAAUUCACUUCAUUUGAGAGUCAUUUGUUUCUUGAUAACUGUUUUCCAGUUGCUACAUACUUCAUUAAAUUGAUGCAAAGGAAAAUCUGUUCAUUGCGCUCAAAAUUUUAGAGAAAGACAUGAGAAAUGAUGAAGAAGUGGAUGAUUGACAGAGAGUUCAGCUGAGUUUCAGUUUGGUGAGAGGAUGUCUAAUAUAGAGGGCACUCCAGGAGUGGGCCUAGCAGCCUUAGCUGGAUGAGGGGGUCCCAUGGAAGAGGAUUGCCUAACACAUGAUUCUGAACUUCAUCCUUACAGACCCGCGAAUGUGUUUCUCAACGACCUGGGGACCAUAUCCGAAAUGUCAUCAUCAAUGGAGAUGGCACCUACCUACCUCUCAGUUUCUGUGGGAGGGUAGCAGCCUAACUUUGGAAGGUCUUCGUGGACAAUAUGUCCAUGCAGCUGUGUCAUCUCCUAUAAUAACACCACCUCCUGCUGGAAUACCUCCUGAAGAACCUGCUUGAGGCUGUUUAAAAUGGUUAACUUUUUUUAUUUUUAAUAUAUAUGUAGAAGCAGACUCUAAAAUAAUGACAAAAGUAUGGUGUAGUAAAUGCAUAAACCAGAAACAUGGUCAUUUAUUAUCAGUAUUAAGUAUUAUGUACUGUAUAAAAUUGUACUGCUAUACUUUUAUACUACUACUAACACAGUAGGUUUGUUUACACCAGCAUCACCACAAACACAUAAGUAAUGCAUUGGGCUAGGACAUUAAGAUAGCUUGUCACCUAUUCUAUCAAUAUGUGAUAAAAAUUUUUCAGUUCCAUUUUAAUCUUAUGGAACCACUGCUGUCUAUGCGGCCUGUCGUUGACCCAAAUGUCAUUAUGUAGUGCAUAACUGUACUAAUACUAAGAAAAACUGAGUGUUUGUAUUUUAGAGUUAAGCACUGAUACGUUUACAAAUAAAAUAAUAUCUGACGUUUGUUUCAAAGGAAUCUGGAUAAGAGGAUAUGGUAAGAACAUAUAUGAAGUAAGAUUGACCAUGGGUUAAUAAUGUUUGAAGCUAAGUGGUAAAUAAUCUUUGUCCCAACCUUUGUGCAUAGUGGUUCUCAAAGAUGAUCCCUGCACUGGCAGCAACAGGAUCAUUUGAGAUCUUGUUUGAAAAGCAAACUCUGAGGAAACCACAUAUUUUGUAACCAAAACUCUGCACAUGAGGCCCAUUAGCCUGUGGUUUCACAAGCCCUUUAGGUAAUUUUGAUCCAAGCUAAUGUUUCUGAAUCACUGCUCCAGUAUAAAUAACAUAGAAUAUUGCAUGUAUUUGUAGAGACAUGACAUUUGUAUAUUUUUAAGUUAUCCAUAAUACAACGAAAAAUAAUGAAAACACCCAGGACAAAUGUUUCACUGGAAAAAUUUGAAUAAAGUUUGCAGACAUAAUUCUAAUCUUAAACACUUCCAAAAGACAGAAAAGGAUCUAUUCCCCAACCCAGUCUGAGAGUAGAAAAUCUUAGCCCUGGAAGUGAACAAAGAGUAUGAAAGAACUAUUAAAGCCAGUCUCACUUAUGAACAAAAGAUCCAGUAAUCUUAAGAAGUUAAGUAAAUCUAGCAUUAUGUAAAAAUAAUAAAAAUACAUCAGAACGAAGUUGUAUUUAUCCUAGAAAAUGAAAGUUGAUUUAACAUUAGAAACACUUUAAAAAGCAGGGAGGAUUAAAGGAGUUUGUUUAUUCUUAAUAUAUUCUGUUUGUUUAUUUCAGUGUUUUUAUAUGAGUAUCCUUAAAUUUUUAAACUGUGUUAAGAUGCAUGCUUAUACUUGUUUUACUUUUCUGACUGGAAGAUAAACCUAAAUAAAGGUUGUGAAAAAGA
RNAcentral lists this long non-coding RNA (2464 nucleotides) under Homo sapiens (human). Its description in RNAcentral is "long independently transcribed non-coding RNA 2770 (LINC02770)". Lineage: Eukaryota; Metazoa; Chordata; Mammalia; Primates; Hominidae. The record is from RNAcentral.